AGAGUUUGAUCCUGGCUCAGAAUCAACGCUGGCGGCGUGCCUAACACAUGCAAGUCGCACGAGAAAGGGUAGCAAUACCUGAGUAAAGUGGCGCACGGGUGAGUAACACGUGAAUUAUCUACCUCCGAGUGGGGAAUAACUGAGAGAAAUCUUAGCUAAUACCGCAUAACACUUACGAGUCAAAGCAGCAAUGCGCUUGGAGAGGAGUUCGCGGCCGAUUAGUUAGUUGGCGGGGUAAUGGCCCACCAAGACGAUGAUCGGUAUCCGGCCUGAGAGGGCGCACGGACACACUGGAACUGAAACACGGUCCAGACUCCUACGGGAGGCAGCAGUGGGGAAUUUUGCGCAAUGGGGGAAACCCUGACGCAGCAACGCCGCGUGGAGGAUGAAAUAUCUUGGUAUGUAAACUCCUUUCGAUGGGGAAGAUUAUGACGGUACCCAUAGAAGAAGCCCCGGCUAACUUCGUGCCAGCAGCCGCGGUAAUACGAGGGGGGCAAGCGUUGUUCGGAUUUAUUGGGCGUAAAGGGUGCGUAGGCGGUUUGGCAAGUCUUGUGUGAAAUCUUCGGGGCUCAACCCCGAAGUCUGCAUAAGAAACUGCCGGGCUUGAGUAUGGGAGAGGUGAGUGGAAUUUCCGGUGUAGCGGUGAAAUGCGUAGAUAUCGGAAGGAACACCUGUGGCGAAAGCGGCUCACUGGACCAUAACUGACGCUGAUGCACGAAAGCUAGGGGAGCAAACAGGAUUAGAUACCCUAGUAGUCC
Molecule: ribosomal RNA, 758 nt
Filed under: uncultured bacterium
Lineage: Bacteria
Description: bacterial SSU rRNA
Rfam family: Bacterial small subunit ribosomal RNA
Source: RNAcentral